CUCUCUUCUCUCGAAUGCUCUCACAACGUAACCCUAAUUCACCCUUAUUGUAAUACAUUUAUUGUCAUUCAUGGUGGUCUCUCUACACCACCAGACCUCUAAUGGCCUCUCCUAUGCUGGUAUCACAAUAUCUAUGGUCCUCGACGGACUAGGGUCAAUCCGCUUACACCCAUGGCCCCUUCUUUCCUAUUUCAGGUUGUUCCAUUUUGAUUACAAGUAAGAUCUUCCUAUUGCACUGUAGAUCUAUGGUUUUCUAAUGCUACUUCUUCAUCUCUAUAUUGUUAAUCUCAAAUCCCU
Molecule: long non-coding RNA, 297 nt
Filed under: Nicotiana benthamiana
Lineage: Eukaryota; Viridiplantae; Streptophyta; Magnoliopsida; Solanales; Solanaceae
Description: long non-coding RNA (NBEN_LNC023632)
Source: RNAcentral